RNAcentral lists this ribosomal RNA (253 nucleotides) under uncultured bacterium. RNAcentral's name for it is "partial 16S ribosomal RNA". It matches the Rfam family "Bacterial small subunit ribosomal RNA", at positions 524 to 776 of the family's 1533-position model. The record is from RNAcentral.
UACGGAGGGGGCGAGCGUUGUUCGGAGUGACUGGGCGUAAAGAGCACGUAGGCGGUGUUGUAAGUCAUUAGUCAAAGACUAGAGCUCAACUUUAGUAAGGCUAGUGAUACUAUAAUACUAGAGUAUCAGAGAGGAUUGCAGAAUUCCUGGUGUAGCGGUGAAAUGCGUAGAUAUCAGGAGGAAUACCGUUAGCGAAGGCGGCAAUCUGGCUGGAAACUGACGCUGAGGUGCGAAAGCGUGGGGAGCAAACAGG